This 817-nucleotide long non-coding RNA is filed under the name Homo sapiens (human). Lineage: Eukaryota; Metazoa; Chordata; Mammalia; Primates; Hominidae. The record is from RNAcentral.
GCACCUUCUAUUCCCAGAAUCACUAGGCGCCGGCGCCUCCGAGGCAGUGUGUUUCCGCCCAGAGCUGGAGUCUCCCAGCUGCCAGCCGACCCCGAACCCGCACUCCCGCCAACCGCGCUUUUUGUGGGCGGUCGGAAACCACAGCCUCCGUUGGAUAUGUUCGGUGCAUGUUAUAAACAACCACUUAAACCCUCCGGAUCUGAGCCUCCCGCAGAGGAAUGCAGAAUGACGCCACGGCACGCAGGAUGUGAUGUCACCGAGAUGCAGAGGAUACUCAGUCAACCAACAUUUACUGAGCAUCUACUUCGUGCCGUAUGUCUUGUCAACGGAAAGGGGUCCCUAUCCAGACCCCAAGAGAGCAUUCUUGGAUCUCUUGCAAGAAAGAAUUUGAGGCGAAUCCAUAGAGUAAGCUUAGUGAUGUGUGUCAGACCUCUGAGCCCAAGCAAAGCCAUCAUAUCCCCUGUGACCUGCAUGUAUACAUCCAGAUGGCCUGAAGCAAGUGAAGAAUCACAAAAGAAGUGAAAAGGGCCGGUUCCUGCCUUAACUGAUGACAUUCCACCAUUGUGAUUUGUUCCUGCCCCACCUUAACUGAGCGAUUAACCUGUGAACUUCCUUCUCCUGGCUCAGAAGCUUCCCCACUGAGCACCUUGUGACCCCCGCCCCUGCCUGCCAUAGAACAACCCCCUUUGAUUGUAAUUUUCCUUUACCUACCCAAAUCCUAUAAAACGGCCCCACCCCUAUCUCCCUUCGCUGACACUCUCUUUGGACUCAGCCUGCCUGCACCUAGGUGAUUAAAAAGCUUUAUUGCUCACGCAAA